RNAcentral lists this ribosomal RNA (819 nucleotides) under uncultured Actinomycetes bacterium. Its description in RNAcentral is "bacterial SSU rRNA". It matches the Rfam family "Bacterial small subunit ribosomal RNA", at positions 335 to 1167 of the family's 1533-position model. Lineage: Bacteria; Bacillati; Actinomycetota; Actinomycetes. The record is from RNAcentral.
ACUCCUACGGGAGGCAGCAGUGGGGAAUAUUGCACAAUGGGCGUAAGCCUGAUGCAGCAACGCCGCGUGAGGGACGACGGCCUUCGGGUUGUAAACCUCUUUUAGUAGGGAAGAAGCGAAAGUGACGGUACCUGCAGAAAAAGCACCGGCUAACUACGUGCCAGCAGCCGCGGUAAUACGUAGGGUGCAAGCGUUGUCCGGAAUUAUUGGGCGUAAAGAGCUCGUAGGCGGUUUGUCGCGUCUGCUGUGAAAUCCCGAGGCUCAACCUCGGGCCUGCAGUGGGUACGGGCAGACUAGAGUGCGGUAGGGGAGAUUGGAAUUCCUGGUGUAGCGGUGGAAUGCGCAGAUAUCAGGAGGAACACCGAUGGCGAAGGCAGAUCUCUGGGCCGUAACUGACGCUGAGGAGCGAAAGCGUGGGGAGCGAACAGGAUUAGAUACCCUGGUAGUCCACGCCGUAAACGUUGGGAACUAGAUGUGGGGACCAUUCCACGGUCUCCGUGUCGCAGCUAACGCAUUAAGUUCCCCGCCUGGGGAGUACGGCCGCAAGGCUAAAACUCAAAGGAAUUGACGGGGGCCCGCACAAGCGGCGGAGCAUGCGGAUUAAUUCGAUGCAACGCGAAGAACCUUACCAAGGCUUGACAUAUACCGGAAACGGCUGGAAACAGUCGCCCCGCAAGGUCGGUAUACAGGUGGUGCAUGGUUGUCGUCAGCUCGUGUCGUGAGAUGUUGGGUUAAGUCCCGCAACGAGCGCAACCCUCGUUCUAUGUUGCCAGCACGUAAUGGUGGGAACUCAUAGGAGACUGCCGGGGUCAACUCGGA